GAUGAACGCUGGCGGCGUGCUUAACACAUGCAAGUCGAACGGAAAGGCCAGUGCUUGCACUGGUACUCGAGUGGCGAACGGGUGAGUAACACGUGGGUGAUCUGCCCUGCACUUCGGGAUAAGCCUGGGAAACUGGGUCUAAUACCGGAUAGGACAAUGGUUUGGAUGCCGUUGUGGAAAGUUUUUUCGGUGUGGGAUGAGCUCGCGGCCUAUCAGCUUGUUGGUGGGGUACUGGCCUACCAAGGCGUCGACGGGUAGCCGGCCUGAGAGGGUGUACGGCCACAUUGGGACGGAGAUACGGCCCAGACUCCGACGGGAGGCAGCAGUGGGGAAUAUUGCACAAUGGGCGCAAGCCUGAUGCAGCGACGCCGCGUGGGGGAUGACGGCCUUCGGGUUGUAAACUCCUUUCGCUAGGGACGAAGCGUAUUUGUGACGGUACCUGGAGAAGAAGCACCGGCUAACUACGUG
This 468-nucleotide ribosomal RNA is filed under the name uncultured bacterium. RNAcentral describes it as "partial 16S ribosomal RNA". It matches the Rfam family "Bacterial small subunit ribosomal RNA", at positions 28 to 507 of the family's 1533-position model. The record is from RNAcentral.